UUUUCUUUGUUUCCUUUAUCAUAUCCUUUCAUGUUUUUUAUUCUCUCUCAUCAAUUAUAACAGAAACGCAGCUCUCUCUUCUACCUCCUUCAAACCCUAGCUGCCAUACAUCUUUAUUGCAUCCCUCCGCCACACACAACUUCAUUUGACCACGAUGUUAGCACCAUCUCCCUGCUCUCUGUCCGAUCUACAUUUUUAUCCGAUUCGUUUUUCGAAACCAAUAAGUUGCUGUCGAGAAUCUUCUUGGGAUGAUCCAUUUCCGGCAAGUACUGGAUCUACGAUUCUCAUAAAAAAAAACCGUAUAAUAGAUUUGAUUAUUUCGACAUCUGAGCAAGUCAUCGGCAAUCAUCGCGCUAGAAGUCGUUUAUGUGGGUGGUUUAAAUUGUGCCAAAAGCUUCUUGGGAAUGUAAGUAAUGGCUAAAUAAUGCAAUGGAUACAAUUUUGAGUUUGGAGAGCUAGAAGAAGCAAUUGUUAUGCAAGGAUUGAAAUGAUGAAACAUAAGCAUCUAUGGUGUACGGGUUACAUCUCCGGAGCUUCGAGCCAUUGUCAAACAUGUUUCUGUUGCAUCCAUGGAGGUCGUGUUGAUGAUAAUGAAGGAUGACAUAAAGGAGAAGAUGGCACCUAUUAUUUCGGAAAAUGGAGCAGAUCUAUCUGUUUGGAGAUCAACUCCUACAUAAUCAAGGUAAUCAUACCCACCCAACAUAUCAUAUGUUGACCUUUUGUCCAAUUCUAUUGAAUGUUAUUGUAAAUUAUUUUCAAAGAAUCAAAUAAUGCAACAAAGAUGCUUCCAAAUUCCAAUUCCGUAGAGCUCUUUGUUAAACCUAAUUUACACCCUGGACAUAUUGCAUAAAAAGUAAAAGAUUCAAUUUUUCUUUCACACUUUAAUCAUCUUCCCUUUCAAAAUAAAUUUUGAACUUUUGAGAUAUUCUGAUAAUUGUAUUCUUUUGUUCUACCUUCAUGUUACUGUUGUGAUUUCUUCAAGAGUCCCAUGAGUUGAUUGUGGAAGAGAAAUGCAUAAACAACAUGAAGGAAAAACAACCAUAACUAAGCUAGCAAAGAGUAUGAAGGGUUUUAGCAUAGCAUAGAUCAUUGAGUCCCUUGCAAAGUUAAAUAAUUGCACCGAUCAACAUAGAUGAUUCCUGCUUGUAUUUUACGUCUACGUCUUUUACUUGCACACUAUUUGAUACCGUUUCAUACUUUAUAAUGAUAUGUGUUUCUGUUUGUCCUCCUCCUCAUUCGUGAAAUAUUUCCAUACCCUAUAGUUUAUAUCAGCCUAUUUUUUAUUUUUAAUUCUUUCGUUUUUUCAUUCUAAGUUCUGAUCAGUAAUAUCUACUUUCAUAUGUGCAUCAAAUUAUAAAUUACUUCUGUCAAAAAUUCAACAUGUCUAUCAAAAAAUAGCCACGGAACGCAGUGGGGGAAUGGUGGUUUUGGGAAAUUCAACAUGUCUAUCAUGUGUGGCGAUUCUCCACUGAUCAGUGUAGGUCUUGCACCCGUUGGGAUUAGCUUCAACGACAUCCAUGGUCUCCCUUAUAAUGCAGAUGCAUGAGUAUUGUGUGGUAUACAUUCUCCGGGUGGCUUUUUUGUUGUGCAAUAAUUGGUCUCCUCGUGCCUUUUAUAGUGGCUAUCUGGUUGUUAUUUUUUAAGGAUAUUUAGACUUUGAGUUCUAUUAUUGUUUAGAAUUUUGGAUGGAACCUUACUGCAUUGUGAUGAUGCCAUUGCUAUCUUAAGUUAAAUAACUCAAGAUUAUGGUUUACUAUGAUCAUGAUUUAUAACUUUUCACAA
Long non-coding RNA from Medicago truncatula (barrel medic), 1782 nucleotides. RefSeq lists it as uncharacterized. The transcript has 5 exons. The record is from RefSeq and is a predicted model, not a curated record. Lineage: Eukaryota; Viridiplantae; Streptophyta; Magnoliopsida; Fabales; Fabaceae.